UGGCACUGACCUUGGGUGGACGCUCCUGUGUGGCUUACCUCGAAGACGUCUUCUUUCUAAAAUUCUAUCCUCUUCUUUAAAGACUUGAUCGGAUGGCGGUUAUGAAGGCAAGGACACAUGGAAGAAUGCCACUUUCCUCGACAGAUGAGACAGGUCCAAGAAGACAAUUUUUUUUUUAAGUGGGGUCGCUUUUUUUCCGAACAAGGCUUGCAUCCACAGUAAUUUUAUGCUACAAUGUGAAUAAUGGAUCUGGAAAACCUUUCUUUCCAGGACAGACGUAUAUAUAUGAGGCAUUUUUCCCCCCUGCUAUUCAAUAAUGAUUAUUUUGAUUACACUGAGAAGUUCUUAGGUAAGUGGAACAAUAUAAAAUCAAUGUGAAAAAAAAAGGUAAAAAUGUGUUUUUUGGGGGUAUUAGACGAUGGUGAAACGGGUAAUUUGUGUGUGUGUGUGUGUGUGUGUGUGUGUGUGUUGAAUAAUGCAGAGUAAAAUUAUCCUAAUUCCAUUCAUCAAUUAAUUUAAUUUUGAUUCCACGUUAACCUUCUUUACUCAGUUCCUCUCCCCACCCCCACCCCCCCAAAUCCCUGUAAGGAAGCCCUGUGAAUGCCCCAGACAUGAGGCUAUGAGAGCUUGGCUGAGCUUCUGCGUCUGGGGAUUACUUUCCAGAUUUAUUUGCGGGGUGUCUGUGCCCGGCAAGUCUUAGCUUUCGCAAAAGACUAAUUACUCCUUGUACCUUUUAACAUUAAAAUGCAUCUGAGACCUUGCCUCCAUUUAACACAACUCUGAGGCAUACCUUAUUCAGCAGAAGCAACGGGGGCCCCUGUCGCCAAGGCUUAGCAGAUAAGAAGAUUAGGACAACGGAUUUUAACUUUCAUUUCUUUGAUGCAAAAGGUAAGAACACCUGAUUUCAAUAUUUAAUUCCUUUGAUAUUUUACCUUUGGAUUUAAUUUUCUUGAACUUUAACUUGCAAGAAAAUUUUAUUCUCUGCGCUUGAAUUUCUCCCUGGAAAUUCUGAAAUGGCAGAUUUGCAUUCACACGGGGUGGGCCUCUCGGAGGUCAUUUUAUUAUCCUGCCCUUUUGACACUGGGAUUGGAUUCUAUUUCAGAGCUUCUAAGGGCCAUGCUGACGACUCAUAUGGGCCGACACAGGGGAUGGGAGAGAGGACAGGAGGGGAGCUGUCUGGUGUACAGAAGGCCUCCAAGUUACGUUAAUCACUGAAGAGCUCUGAGCUGUUGUAGAGCCUUCUGGAGGCAAAAGGAACCGUUCACGGCCAUGGUCCUGGGGGAACUGAAGGCCAGGUUUGGGGAGAUGCUUUUCUGAAGAAGCAACACUGUGUUCACCUGUUCUCACCCACCUCCUCCCCUGCAAGGAUCCAGCGCAGCCCCGGGGCAAGGGCUAAGACAACAGAGGUUGCAGAUUGGGAGUGUGGAGAAUUCGCUCUUUGUGCAUGCGUGCUAUUGGCCAGCGUCCCCAGCUCCUGUCCGGCUGUGCCCUCACUCCCCGACACCACCAGGCGCACCGUCAGUGAGGCCCCACGCACAAGGGAAAUGUGGGUCUCUGUUCAGAAAGCAGAACUUGCUGUGAAAGGUGAUAAAAAAAUGCAAAGCUCUUCCCUUCUUGACCCGCCGUGGGGAUUUCAUUUGGACCUUGUUGUCAAGAUGGGCACUCAGUGGGAAGGGGGAGCCGCUGCGGGAGGAGGCAGGGAGCCGAGGGUGGCAGGCUGUAGGGAGGGGACACCAGAGAACCCAGCCUAGGGGGGCAGACAUCGGACCUCCCCCGAGCCAAGGCUCCCAACCUCAGAGCACACCCCACUGAAGCAUCAGAUUUCACCUAAAAACCACAAAUCCCAAGAUAAAAUUACUACUAAUGUCCAGAUGACGACCCAGAGCAUCAAAACCCGGGCGUGGAGCCCUUGUCAGCCCGGCUCUGUGUAGAGGACCAGACCCAAGUGAUACCUCCUGUGGUUUCUCACCCUGUGUCUCAGCUUCCCGCCCCCUGGCCCCACUCCUCGCGCUCAUCCGUACAGAUGCGCAGUCACCACCCACGGGCUCGGCCAGUACCCCCAUUUCUUCCCCUGGGACCAAGUGG
This 2085-nucleotide long non-coding RNA is filed under the name Lynx pardinus (Iberian lynx). Lineage: Eukaryota; Metazoa; Chordata; Mammalia; Carnivora; Felidae. The record is from RNAcentral.